This 346-nucleotide ribosomal RNA is filed under the name uncultured bacterium. RNAcentral's name for it is "bacterial SSU rRNA". It matches the Rfam family "Bacterial small subunit ribosomal RNA", at positions 8 to 334 of the family's 1533-position model. The record is from RNAcentral.
AGGGUUUGAUUAUGGCUCAGGACGAACGCUGGCGGCGUGCCUAAUACAUGCAAGUCGAACGCUUUUUCUUUCACCGGAGCUUGCUCCACCGAAAGAAAAAGAGUGGCGAACGGGUGAGUAACACGUGGGUAACCUGCCCAUCAGAAGGGGAUAACACUUGGAAACAGGUGCUAAUACCGUAUAACACUAUUUUCCGCAUGGAAGAAAGUUGAAAGGCGCUUUUGCGUCACUGAUGGAUGGACCCGCGGUGCAUUAGCUAGUUGGUGAGGUAACGGCUCACCAAGGCCACGAUGCAUAGCCGACCUGAGAGGGUGAUCGGCCACACUGGGACUGAGACACGGCCCAG